This is a long non-coding RNA of Zophobas morio, 238 nucleotides long. RefSeq lists it as uncharacterized. The record is from RefSeq and is a predicted model, not a curated record. NCBI's taxonomy places the organism in Eukaryota, Metazoa, Arthropoda, Insecta, Coleoptera, Tenebrionidae. The transcript has 3 exons.
AUAAUAAUUUGCUGGAUAAAAUCUCUUCACGUGCGUUCUUCCAUUUGCACUUCUUAAAAAGCUUAGUUUUACAAGGGAAUCCUAUUAGAGAAAUCGGCCCGUACGCCUUUUAUCCGUCUUUCAAUUUUUCAACCUUGGACAUUCACCUUAUAAAUGAAACAUUUCUCUGCUGUUCAAGAACUUAUUAUGGUUAUGUUAUUAACUUUUCGAAUUCUUUUUGUACGCAUAAAAACAAAGU